GGGCCCGCACAAGCGGUGGAGUAUGUGGUUUAAUUCGAUGCAACGCGAAGAACCUUACCAGGGUUUGACAUCCUGCGAAUCUCUUGGAAACGAGAGAGUGCCUUCGGGAACGCAGUGACAGGUGGUGCAUGGCUGUCGUCAGCUCGUGUCGUGAGAUGUUGGGUUAAGUCCCGCAACGAGCGCAACCCACGUCUUUAGUUGCCAGCAUUUAGUUGGGCACUCUAGAGAGACCGCCGGUGAUAAACCGGAGGAAGGUGUGGAUGACGUCAAGUCAUCAUGCCCCUUACAUCCUGGGCUACACACGUACUACAAUGCUACGGACAAAGAGCAGCCACUUCGCAAGAAGGAGCG
Molecule: ribosomal RNA, 351 nt
Filed under: uncultured bacterium
Lineage: Bacteria
Description: bacterial SSU rRNA
Rfam family: Bacterial small subunit ribosomal RNA
Source: RNAcentral